This 670-nucleotide ribosomal RNA is filed under the name fungal sp. W246. RNAcentral's name for it is "eukaryotic LSU rRNA". The stretch from base 202 to 355 matches the Rfam family "5.8S ribosomal RNA". The record is from RNAcentral. Lineage: Eukaryota; Fungi.
UGAAGGUGAAGUCGUAACAAGGUUUCCGUAGGUGAACCUGCGGAAGGAUCAUUCAUAAUAAGUGUUUUAUGGCACUUUUUAAAUCCAUAUCCACCUUGUGUGCAAUGUCAGUCGAUCUUCUUCAUGGAGAUCGACCAAACAUCAACCUUUAUUUUUUAACUCUUUGUCUGAAAAAUAUUAUGAAUAAACAAUUCAAAAUACAACUUUCAACAACGGAUCUCUUGGCUCUCGCAUCGAUGAAGAACGCAGCGAAAUGCGAUACGUAAUGUGAAUUGCAGAAUUCAGUGAAUCAUCGAAUCUUUGAACGCAUAUUGCGCUCUUUGGUAUUCCGAAGAGCAUGCUUGUUUGAGUAUCAGUAAACACCUCAAAGCUUUUGGAUUUUUUAAAUCGAAAAGCUUUGGACUUGAGCAAUCCCAACACCAAUCUUUUUGAGAUCGGUGGCGGGUUGCUUGAAAUGCAGGUGCAGCUGGACAUUCUCCUGAGCUAAAAGCAUAUUCAUUUAGUCCCGUCAAACGGAUUAUUACUUUUGCUGCAGCUAACAUAAAGGGAGUUUGACCGUAUUGGCUGACUGAUGCAGGAUUUCACAAGGGUCGGCAACGAUUCUUGUUAAACUCGAUCUCAAAUCAAGUAAGACUACCCGCUGAACUUAAGCAUAUCAAUAAGCGGAGGA